Molecule: non-coding RNA, 705 nt
Organism: Hydra vulgaris (swiftwater hydra)
Lineage: Eukaryota; Metazoa; Cnidaria; Hydrozoa; Anthoathecata; Hydridae
Source: RefSeq, a predicted model, not a curated record
ACUGUUAGUGCAAACGGUUUAAAUGUUUUGAGGCCAAAACAAGAGAGAGACCGCCUCAUUACUGCUUUUAAUGAGCUUCAAAACAAAGAUGAUCAAGACGCCUUUCAGUCUACACAAAUUGAUGUGGAAAUUGUUGCAAGAAGAAGACCAAAAACAGAUGUCACAGAUCCAAAACCAAAAGACAAAUCUUACAGUUAUAUGAUCAAGGUUCAACGGGAGCACAAAAUGGAAAAAUUAGAUCUCUGUUUUAGGUAUUUAUUGCCAUUUUUGGAAUCAGUCACAAACGAGUUAGGAUAAUACAGACAGCACUGAAAGAAACUGUAACCAUUUAACAGCAAGACAAAUUGUUGUUGUUGAUCAUGGAAUGAAGACUUUGAUUGAUACGAGUGUUAAAAGAAGUGACAAUUUUUAUGAAUACCUGAAAGAUCUGAAGUCUGUGACAAUUCAUGUGGUUUGCCUAAAAAAAGAAACUCAGAAGAGUACUAUUGUUGCAUUUAAAAGACAGCAAGAUACCAAUCAAGUCAGCAUAUCUGAAAAUAGUCCACCUCGUACCAGAGCACGCGUAGCACUAGUGACAUACACUUGUUGUAUUUUACCAGAUGAGAGAUCAGUGUAACUCGACUCCAGUUACAAUUGAUUCAUAAGUUGGAAGAGAUUUAUCAGUUUUUUUCUGCAAGAUUAUGUUCACCAGCUUGAAAACGACUU